CCUACGGGAGGCAGCAGUGGGGAAUAUUGGGCAAUGGAGGCAACUCUGACCCAGCAAUGCCGCGUGAGUGAUGAAGGUAAUUUUAUUGUAAAGCUCUUUUCUUGGGAACGAAGAAAGGACGGUACCAAAGGAAUAAGCCCCGGCUAACUACGUGCCAGCAGCCGCGGUAAUACGGAGGGGGCAAGCGGUGUUCGGGAUGACGGGGCGGAAAGGGUGUGUAGGGGGUUUGAUAAGUUAGAUGUGUAAUACCCAGGGCUUAACUCGGGUGCUGCAUCUAAAACGGUUAGACUUGAGGACUGGGGCGGAUAGUGGCAUUCCUCGUGUAGCGGUUGAAUGCUUAGAUAUUAGGAG
Molecule: ribosomal RNA, 351 nt
Filed under: uncultured bacterium
Lineage: Bacteria
Description: partial 16S ribosomal RNA
Rfam family: Bacterial small subunit ribosomal RNA
Source: RNAcentral